Molecule: non-coding RNA, 72 nt
Organism: Caenorhabditis brenneri
Lineage: Eukaryota; Metazoa; Nematoda; Chromadorea; Rhabditida; Rhabditidae
Source: Rfam
GCCUUAUUGGCUCAGUGGUAGAGCGUCUGUCCUGUAACCUGAAGAUCACUAGUUCGAUUUCUGCAUCGGGCA